This 2136-nucleotide ribosomal RNA is filed under the name Triticum aestivum (bread wheat). RNAcentral's name for it is "partial small subunit ribosomal RNA". Lineage: Eukaryota; Viridiplantae; Streptophyta; Magnoliopsida; Poales; Poaceae. The record is from RNAcentral.
AUGCAUUCGCAAGCUUGCUUCUGGUGCUCUCAACACCGUAUUUAUAAUGUGGGGAAACUAAAACUCUUACAAGAGUUAAGGGCUUUUGCCGUCAAUAAGGAAAACGAAGGGUUUGAAAUAAAUCAACUAGAGCAUCUGACCGAGCUAAGGGAAGUUGGCAUUUAUAACCUUGAGAAGAUACACACGAAAGAAGAAGCGGUUGAAGCAAAACUAAUACAGAAAGACUACUUGCACAAAUUAACACUAGAUUGGGAUAGUGAGCGACCUAAUAGUGAGCCUGGCGCGGAAGUAGUGGUUCUUGAGAGCCUUCAACCACAUAGAAAUCUUCAGGAGCUGAGAAUUACAGGACACCGUGGCCCUUCUUGUCCAACAUGGCUGCGUGAUAACCUGGUUGUUCAGGCUCUACAAUCUCUCUCUCUCUUCUCUGUUUCUUGGGAUAUUUUUCCUUCAUUUGGGAAGAUGUGGAAUCUUCGUGAGCUAGUAUUGUCGAAUAUUUCCACAAUAAAGGAGUUUGAUCUAGAGCAAAGCUUUUGCAAGUUAGUAAGGAAGAUUACACUCACUGGAUUAGAAAAUUUUGAAAAAUGGGUACCACAGCCCACUCAUUUCUUACCUCAUUUGCAAGUACUGAUUAUCACAGAUUGCCCUAAACUCUCAGAGCUGCCAUUUUCAAGCCACAUUGUUUACCCACUGAAACAAGACUGGAACAUAGAUUGGUUUCCCAAACUACAAAAGCUUAAGAUAGAAAACUGCCCUGAAGUGUUGCUACUGCCUCCUAUUCCUUGGACCCAAUCUUUGUGCUCUGUCAAGAUAAGUGAUGUGGGAUCAAAACUAGUGAAGAAGUUGGUCUACUCAAAAUCAUCUUCUGGAGUAGAAUUGGAAGUUAACGCACAGGAUGGUCUGCAUAACUUAGAUCAGGUGUUACUAUUCAGUCAACUUACAGAAAUUCAGGAGUUGAAGAUAAAAAAUUGCCCACCUUUGGAGCUGAAGUAUUUUAUAAUGCUAACCUCAUUGAAGAAAUUGUGGGCAUGGUCUUCAAAUCAUGGGGUGGUGGCAUCAGAAGUUCAGAGUGGUGGCGAAUGGCAGCAUCCUGUUGAGGACAUUAAAAUCUGGGUUUCUGAUUCUAGUGGAAAGGAAUUGACGCAGUUCUUGUCUCACCUCCCAAAGCUAUCCAAAUUGCAAGUGUAUCGUUGUGAAAACAUAACACAGUUUGCUGUGGGGGUGGAUUUGCAGCAAACAACAUCACCAGUAGUAUCAUCGUCAACCUCUUCAGAUGUUACAAUUGAUGAAACACAAGCAAAAGAUGAGCAGCAAGAAAUAGCAGAGGUGGAGAAGGAGGAGGCAAACACGGUGGAUGAUGAUGGGCUGUUGCUCCUCCCUGCACAUCUCUCCAACUCUCUGCAGACGUUGGUCAUCAAAAUAGGUGGUGCGGUUGUUCAUUCCCUCAGUGCCCUCCAAGCCAUAACUACCCUUUGGUUAGAAGAUUGUUCUUUUUACCACCCUUUCCCUCCCACGCUGCUAGACCUGCAACUUUCGUCCGUGAAGGGCGUGCAGACGAUGGAGUCCCUUUCAAACCUCACCUCUCUUACCCGAUUAGAAAUAUAUCGUUGCGGAGAGGAUUUAAGAUGCGAGGGCCUGUUGCCUCUCCUUACUCGGGGCCAGCUCAGCAAUUUAAAAGUCAAAGGAAGCCCCAAUUUCUUUGGUGGGUGGGAUCCCAAUCCCAUGCGGGGGAUGACAGAAUCCAAACUGCAGAAUCUCGAAACAGAUGACAUCGAGGGCUUACUCGAUGCGCCCGUCCUCUGUAGCCUCCUCUCUUCCUCCCUCACAUCGUUGGACUUUAUUGGGAACCAUGAGACGACGCGCUUCACAAAGGAGCAGGAGGAGGCCUUUCAACGCCUCACCUCGCUCCAGGAACUCUGGUUUUGGGGUUGCGACAAGCUCGAGCACCUCCCUGCAGGCCUAAACAAGCUGACCAACCUCAAGAGAUUAUGGAUCUGGUGGUGUCCAGCCCUCCGGUCGCUGCCCAAUGGCGGCCUCCCGAGUUCACUGCGAGAAUUAGAUGUCAACAGGUGCGACAACGAGGAGCUAACAAAGCAGUGCAGGCGGUUGAUGGGAACCAUUCCGAAAAUCAUACUAUAG